AGACCACCAGCUAAGGUCCCAAAAUAUAUGUUAAGUGGAAAAGGAUGUGGCGUUGCCCAGACAACUAGGAUGUUGGCUUAGAAGCAGCCAUCAUUUAAAGAGUGCGUAAUAGCUCACUAGUCGAGUGACACUGCGCCGAAAAUGUACCGGGGCUAAACAUAUUACCGAAGCUGUGGAUUGUCCUUUGGACAAUGGUAGGAGAGCGUUCUAAGGGCGUUGAAGCAUGAUCGUAAGGACAUGUGGAGCGCUUAGAAGUGAGAAUGCCGGUGUGAGUAGCGAAAGACGGGUGAGAAUCCCGUCCACCGAUUGACUAAGGUUUCCAGAGGAAGGCUCGUCCGCUCUGGGUUAGUCGGGUCCUAAGCUGAGGCCGACAGGCGUAGGCGAUGGAUAACAGGUUGAUAUUCCUGUACCACCUAUAAUCGUUUUAAUCGAUGGGGGGACGCAGUAGGAUAGGCGAAGCGUGCGAUUGGAUUGCACGUCUAAGCAGUAAGGCUGAGUAUUAGGCAAAUCCGGUACUCGUUAAGGCUGAGCUGUGAUGGGGAGAAGACAUUGUGUCUUCGAGUCGUUGAUUUCACACUGCCGAGAAAAGCCUCUAGAUAGAAAAUAGGUGCCCGUACCGCAAACCGACACAGGUAGUCAAGAUGAGAAUUCUAAGGUGAGCGAGCGAACUCUCGUUAAGGAACUCGGCAAAAUGACCCCGUAACUUCGGGAGAAGGGGUGCUCUUUAGGGUUAACGCCCAGAAGAGCCGCAGUGAAUAGGCCCAAGCGACUGUUUAUCAAAAACACAGGUCUCUGCUAAACCGUAAGGUGAUGUAUAGGGGCUGACGCCUGCCCGGUGCUGGAAGGUUAAGAGGAGUGGUUAGCUUCUGCGAAGCUACGAAUCGAAGCCCCAGUAAACGGCGGCCGUAACUAUAACGGUCCUAAGGUAGCGAAAUUCCUUGUCGGGUAAGUUCCGACCCGCACGAAAGGCGUAACGAUUUGGGCACUGUCUCAACGAGAGACUCGGUGAAAUCAUAGUACCUGUGAAGAUGCAGGUUACCCGCGACAGGACGGAAAGACCCCGUGGAGCUUUACUGUAGCCUGAUAUUGAAAUUCGGCACAGCUUGUACAGGAUAGGUAGGAGCCUUUGAAACGUGAGCGCUAGCUUACGUGGAGGCGCUGGUGGGAUACUACCCUAGCUGUGUUGGCUUUCUAACCCGCACCACUUAUCGUGGUGGGAGACAGUGUCAGGCGGGCAGUUUGACUGGGGCGGUCGCCUCCUAAAAGGUAACGGAGGCGCUCAAAGGUUUCCUCAGAAUGGUUGGAAAUCAUUCAUAGAGUGUAAAGGCAUAAGGGAGCUUGACUGCGAGACCUACAAGUCGAGCAGGGUCGAAAGACGGACUUAGUGAUCCGGUGGUUCCGCAUGGAAGGGCCAUCGCUCAACGGAUAAAAGCUACCCCGGGGAUAACAGGCUUAUCUCCCCCAAGAGUUCACAUCGACGGGGAGGUUUGGCACCUCGAUGUCGGCUCAUCGCAUCCUGGGGCUGUAGUCGGUCCCAAGGGUUGGGCUGUUCGCCCAUUAAAGCGGUACGCGAGCUGGGUUCAGAACGUCGUGAGACAGUUCGGUCCCUAUCCGUCGUGGGCGUAGGAAAUUUGAGAGGAGCUGUCCUUAGUACGAGAGGACCGGGAUGGACAUACCUCUGGUGUACCAGUUGUCGUGCCAACGGCAU
RNAcentral lists this ribosomal RNA (1708 nucleotides) under Staphylococcus aureus. Its description in RNAcentral is "partial 23S ribosomal RNA". It matches the Rfam family "Bacterial large subunit ribosomal RNA", at positions 1029 to 2738 of the family's 2925-position model. Lineage: Bacteria; Bacillati; Bacillota; Bacilli; Caryophanales; Staphylococcaceae. The record is from RNAcentral.